This 427-nucleotide ribosomal RNA is filed under the name uncultured bacterium. Its description in RNAcentral is "partial 16S ribosomal RNA". It matches the Rfam family "Bacterial small subunit ribosomal RNA", at positions 355 to 774 of the family's 1533-position model. The record is from RNAcentral.
UGGGGAAUAUUGCACAAUGGGCGCAAGCCUGAUGCAGCCAUGCCGCGUGUAUGAAGAAGGCCUUCGGGUUGUAAAGUACUUUCAGCGGGGAGGAAGGCGAUAAGGUUAAUAACCUUGUCGAUUGACGUUACCCGCAGAAGAAGCACCGGCUAACUCCGUGCCAGCAGCCGCGGUAAUACGGAGGGUGCAAGCGUGAAUCGGAAUUACUGGUCGUAAAGCGCACGCAGGCGGUCUGUCCAGUCGGAUGUGAAAUCCCCGGGCUCAACCUGGGAACUGCAUUCGAAACUGGCAGGCUAGAGUCUUGUAGAGGGGGGUAGAAUUCCAGGCGUAGCGGUGAAAUGCGUAGAGAUCUGGAGGAAUACCGGUGGCGAAGGCGGCCCCCUGGACAAAGACUGACGCUCAGGUGCGAAAGCGUGGGGAGCAAACA